RNAcentral lists this long non-coding RNA (444 nucleotides) under Phaseolus vulgaris (common bean). RNAcentral's name for it is "long non-coding RNA (PVUL_LNC005123)". Lineage: Eukaryota; Viridiplantae; Streptophyta; Magnoliopsida; Fabales; Fabaceae. The record is from RNAcentral.
AAUGAAAGACUCAAACACAAGUAUCCUAGGCUCUAUUCUAUAUCUAAAAGUAAAAUGAAAACAGUACAACAGGUAAGAAUUUGGGGCCAAGGAUGGGUGGAGUGAAAUCUUCAAUGGAGAAGGCAUACAUUUGAAAGGAAAAGGGAACAACUAUCCCAACUUCUAAAUGAGAUUAACAAUGUUCAACUUCUAAGGGACUCUCAAGAUCUGUGGCAAUGGCAAGCUGAUCAGGGUGGGGCUUACACAGUGAAGUCAUCAUAUUCUGUUUUACAACAAUGUAGCAGUUAUGAAAACUGCCUGCUUUGAAUACCCUUUGGUUUAUUAAUACACUGCCUAAUGCACUUACUUUACAGCUUGGAUAAUCUUGUUGGGUAAAGUACCAAUAAGGGUGAAUUUGGUAAGUAGGGGUGUUGUCCUUCCUUCCACAGCUUGCCCACUCUGUAG